Molecule: ribosomal RNA, 429 nt
Filed under: Bacteroidota bacterium
Lineage: Bacteria; Pseudomonadati; Bacteroidota
Description: Bacteroidetes bacterium partial 16S ribosomal RNA
Rfam family: Bacterial small subunit ribosomal RNA
Source: RNAcentral
UAGGGAAUCUUCCGCAAUGGACGCAAGUCUGACGGAGCAACGCCGCGUGAGUGAAGAAGGAUUUCGGUUCGUAAAACUCUGUUGUUAGAGAAGAACAGCGCAUAGAGUAACUGUUAUGCGUGUGACGGUAUCUAACCAGAAAGCCACGGCUAACUACGAGCCAGCAGCCGCGGUAAUACGUAGGUGGCAAGCGUUGUCCGGAUUUAUUGGGCGUAAAGCGAGCGCAGGCGGUCAAUUAAGUCUGAUGUGAAAGCCCCCGGCUCAACCGGGGAGGGUCAUUGGAAACUGGUUGACUUGAGUGCAGAAGAGGAGAGUGGAAUUCCAUGUGUAGCGGUGAAAUGCGUAGAUAUAUGGAGGAACACCAGUGGCGAAGGCGACUCUCUGGUCUGUAACUGACGCUGAGGCUCGAAAGCGUGGGUAGCAAACAGG